ACCUGCCUGCUUGGACUGGGCAGCUCUUGCUGCAGGGACACUAACUGCUCUGCUCUGCUCUUUAACCCAGAUGGAGAACCCCAGCUGGCCUCCACCGUCAUAGACACCAUCAUGGCUGGCCUGCCAGGACCACGGGGAGCCCCGGGCCCCAUUGGGCCACCAGGGCCACCAGGUGCAUCAGGACCCAAAGGGCCACCAGGACCUAUCGGAGUCCCUGGAUCACAAGGCUUACCGGGCUCUCCAGGACAACCCGGGCCAAAAGGCUCCAAAGGAGACCGAGGAGAGAGAGUAAGGUUUUACAUACACAGAGAUUCCCAGCAACAUCUGGGGUGAUGCCUCAGAAAUUAUAUACAGCAUAGGUCUUUCAAAUUCUGUGGGACUACAGCCAUGAACAAUUUUAAAUGUAGAGUUUCUAAGUCUUCUGCAAGAACCAAGAUUGAGGGUUUACUGUACAGAUAAAGGGUUGAAUUGCUUGCAAAGUCUGGUGUUCCCUAAAGAGGUUCAGGUAGCAAAUACAAGGUGUAUGAAGGCUUGUGGAGACCAACUUUCUUCUGCCAACCAAAGCUCUUUAGCAUGGAGUAUUUUGAGUGGUCUAACUGAACUCUUCCUUCUGUGGCAAUAAGGCAGUAAAAGCUCAUCAGACUUUUCCUGAACCAAAGCCAUUCCCCAGGUGAAAUUAUGUUCUUAAUAUAUUUGGAAUAUCAAAAUCAUGUUCUUAAUAUGUUUAUGUGCUAUACCCCAGUCCUUGAUGGGUGGUCAAGUGCUAAUAACUAAGCAUAGAAAGAGGGGCUGUUUGAAUGUUAUUUCCAAACUGGUGAAGUUUAGGAAAAAAACAAAGAAAAAUCUUAACAAGGGUAUCAGAUUCUCAGUCCAGCAUUAAGCACCAGGAAGGGUUUCAAAGUGGCAUUUGGGCCUUCAGCUGCUUCUGUUCAGCUUACUCUCCAAAAGGCCAUGGUCUUUGAAAUCUCCUCUGAGAGACAUUAGGAGCACAAAAUCAUUUGAGAAUGUCGUAUGUGGUGGAGGAUCAUUCAGCAAUUAGAUCUGCA
This 1046-nucleotide long non-coding RNA is filed under the name Accipiter nisus (Eurasian sparrowhawk). RNAcentral's name for it is "lncRNA (ENSANIG00000013325.1)". The record is from RNAcentral. Lineage: Eukaryota; Metazoa; Chordata; Aves; Accipitriformes; Accipitridae.